Molecule: long non-coding RNA, 1921 nt
Organism: Pogoniulus pusillus (Red-fronted tinkerbird)
Lineage: Eukaryota; Metazoa; Chordata; Aves; Piciformes; Lybiidae
Exons: 2
Source: RefSeq, a predicted model, not a curated record
GACAAGUCAGGAGCCCAGAGAGGUUGUGGAGUUUCCUUCUCUGGAGGACACCUGGACAUUGUCACCCUGGGCUGGAGCAGGGGGUUGGACUGGAUGAGCUCCAGAGUUCCCCUCCCACCCCACCAUGGGGUUGAACUUGCCACCACAGGCACCACACCUUAGCACUGUCACCUCAGGAUGUGCCAGCACCCCUAGCUCAGGCCAGAGUGUGGUGCCUCAGCUACAGCCCCUCCAGAGACCCACCAUGACCAAGAAGCAGCCAUCUGCCCUUGCCCUGUCACAUCCCCACGUCCCUCCUGGGUCACUUUCAUGGCUGCAGACAUUAAAGCCCAGCCCAGGCCACCAGAGGCCCUUCUCUCUGUUCAGGAACCAUCAGGAGAAGUAGGCAGAGAACGCAGGAGCCAACAGCUCCUAGGAACCAUCUUGGCCAAGACCCAUCACCUGCCCAGGCUGAUGGGGCACACACAGUUUGGGGUGCAUCUACAGGAACGGGGUGACCAGGGUGGCAUCUCUGCAGCGCAAGGGCCAGGACCACCCCCACCCAGCACCACAAGUGACUGCAGUUGCCCACACAGAGCCAGCGCAAAGCAGAUGCCACCAGGCCACUUUGCCUCUCCAAGAUGCUGAUCAUGCUGUGGCACCAAGGCUGGUCACAAACUGCUGCUGAUGUGCAGCCAGCGUGGCCAGCGUGGGACCCACAGCUCCACCAUGGAAUCACAGUGUCAGUCAUGGAAUGGUUUUAGUUGGAGGAGGCCUUGAAGAUCACCAAGUCCAACCCUUGGACUCCAGCACUGCCAGGGCACCACCAAACCAUGGCCCUCAGCAGCACAUCUCCAUGGCUUUGAGACCCCUCCAGGGAUGGGGACUCCAACGCUGCAGCCUGGGCCAGACCUGGCCAACUCUCAACAGACUCCUUUUUUCCAGGCUCAACAACCCCAGGUCUUCAGCUGCUCCUCACCGGACCUGUUCUCUCCUCUGGUGGGACUGCAGCAGAUCCACACCAGGGCAGGCUGGCAGGGACCUCCAGAGAUCAUCCCAGCCAAGCCCCCUGAUCAACCAAGGAAUGUCCAUAUGAAUUUUGCUUGUCUUCAAGGAUGGAGGCUCCACAACACAAACUGGAAUCCCAGCACGGUGUGGUGGGAAGGGACCUCUGGAGCUCAUCCAGUCCAACCCCCUUGCUCCACCAGGGGCACCCACAGCAGCUUGCCCAAGGUCACAAUAGCCAGGUGGGCUUGGAAGCUCUCCACACAAGGAGACUCCACAACCUCUCCGGGCAGCCUGCUCACCACUCUCACAGCCAAGUGGCUCCUGCUGGAACCUCCUGGCUUCCACUUGGUGCCCCUUGCCCCUUGGCCUGGCACUGGCCACCACUGACGAGAGCCUGGCCCCAUCCUCUUGCCCCCUGCAGGUCCUUUAUCUCUUGCUGAGCAUUGCUCAGAUGCCCUCUAGGGCUGCCCUUCUCCCCAGGUGUCUCAGCCUGCUCUCACAGGGAUGCUCCAGGCCCCUCACUCAACGUUUUGUCUCCCUUCACAGACCCCAGCUGGCAGCAGGUCCAUGCCCCAUCGCUCCUGCAUCCCCUCCGCCAAAACCUCACCUUGCCUCUCGUGUGCCACUUGAAAAUGCUGCUGCUGGACCUGGGUCCCUUGCACCAUGAGGUGGAGCCCACGCCACAAGCCCCAGCUCUUCUGCAAAGCAUCUCCCAGGGAAGCAUGGCUUAGGGGCUGCCCACCCAGCCCAGAGCCUCAUUGAUCCUGGCCACGCUCAAUCAAUCAUUAGAGACUUAAUGAGUCCAAGUGUCUCAGAGCCUCCAUCCAUCAGCUCUCUGGGCCGUUCCUAACGAGGUUAGUGACCAUCUCAGAUCCCACUGCUCUUGUCCAGGGCUCUCUUGGCAGGCUCAAUUAAAGGCUGUUGAUUAGUUUAA